RNAcentral lists this ribosomal RNA (502 nucleotides) under uncultured bacterium. RNAcentral's name for it is "bacterial SSU rRNA". It matches the Rfam family "Bacterial small subunit ribosomal RNA", at positions 8 to 527 of the family's 1533-position model. The record is from RNAcentral.
AGAGUUUGAUCCUGGCUCAGAACGAACGCUGGCGGCGUGGAUAAGACAUGCAAGUCGAACGGGACAGUUUUGUAGCAAUAUGAAGCUGUUCAGUGGCGAACGGGUGCGUAACACGUGGAUACAUUCCGGGAAGUGAGAAAUAGCCCAGGGAAACUUGGAUUAAUAUCUCAUGUGGUCGCAAGACUAAAGGCGCAAGCCGCUUCCUGAUUGGUCCGCGGCCUAUCAGCUAGUUGGUGAGGUAAAGGCUCACCAAGGCGACGACGGGUAGCUGGUCUGAGAGGACGACCAGCCACACUGGAACUGAGACACGGUCCAGACACCUACGGGUGGCAGCAGUCGAGAAUCUUUCACAAUGGGGGAAACCCUGAUGGAGCGACGCCGCGUGGAGGUUAAGGUCUUCGGAUUGUAAACUCCUGUCAUGCGAGAACAAAGCCCGCAAGGGUGUGAUAGUACCGCAAGAGGAAGAGACGGCUAACUCUGUGCCAGCAGCCGCGGUAAUUCA